GCGUCAUUCCUGCUUUCGGUGGAAAAGAUUAAUCUCUUCACUAAAAAAACGAGGCUUCAACUACGAAAAGAUUAGAAACCCUAAAAAAAGGUAAUGGCGUGCUCGAAACAUCUGCGCACCGCCCUCCGGUACACUCGUAACCGAGCCACCGUCGCCGCUAUCGCCCCAAUUCGUGGCUUUUCCACAGCUGCCGCUGCGGCGGAGAUUAAUGAAGAUGAAGCAGGGAUCUUCAUGAAAGGGGUGCGUAUCCGGGGGCGACCUCUCUACCUGGACAUGCAAGCAACUUCCCCGGUUGACCCAAGGGUGAUUGACGCUAUGCUGCCCUUCUAUCUCUCCCGCUACGGCAAUCCCCAUUCUCGCACCCACCUCUACGGCUGGGAGUCGGAUCAUGCCGUGGAGGCGGCACGCGAGCAGGUCGCAGCUCUCAUCGGCGCAUCUCCGAAAGAGAUCGUCUUCACCUCUGGAGCCACCGAGUCGAACAACAUAUCGAUAAAAGGUGUUAUGCACUUCUACAAGGACAAGAAGAGGCACGUCAUCACUACCCAGACGGAGCACAAGUGCGUUCUUGAUUCCAGCAGGCAUCUCCAGCAGGAAGGAUUCGAUGUAACCUACUUGCCCGUUGGAAAAGAUGGGAUUGUCGAUCUGGAUAAGUUGGAAGCAGCUAUUAGACCGGAUACCGGGCUGGUCUCUGUCAUGGCUGUCAAUAACGAAAUUGGGGUUAUUCAGCCUAUGGAAGAAAUUGGGAAGAUUUGCAAGCAACGCAAUGUCCCGUUCCAUACUGAUGCUGCCCAAGCUUUGGGGAAGAUUCCCAUUGAUGUGGAGAAAUGGAAUGUGAGCUUGAUGUCUCUGAGUGGCCACAAGAUUUAUGGACCCAAAGGCGUUGGAGCUCUGUACAUGAGGCGGCGCCCGCGUAUUCGGGUUGAGCCCCAGAUGAACGGAGGUGGACAGGAGAGAGGGAUCCGUAGCGGGACCGUGCCAACGCCUUUGGUCGUUGGAUUUGGCGCGGCGUGUGAGGUGGCCAUGAAGGAGAUGGAAUAUGAUGACCAGAGGAUCAGGGCUUUGCAGGAGAGGUUGCUUAAGGGAAUCCGUGAGAAACUCGAUGAGGUUGUCGUGAAUGGGAGCAUGGAGAGGCGCUAUGCAGGGAACUUGAACUUGUCGUUCGCGUACGUUGAAGGAGAGAGCUUGUUGAUGGGGCUGAAGGAGGUGGCUGUUUCAAGUGGGAGCGCCUGCACCAGCGCUAGCUUGGAGCCCUCUUAUGUGCUCAGAGCUUUGGGGGUUGAGGAGGAUAUGGCCCAUACUUCCAUUAGGUUUGGCAUUGGGAGGUUCACCACGGAGGAGGAGAUUGACCGGGCUAUUGAGCUUACAGUGUCUCAGGUUCAGAAGUUGAGAAACAUGAGCCCUCUUUACGAGAUGGUGAAGUCAGGAAUUGACAUUAAGCAGAUUCAAUGGGCACAGCAUUGACAGAGUUUUAGCAUGCAGGAUCUCUUGAAAGUUGCACUUGCUGGGAGGGAACUCGUGUGAAGUAAGAGGCCCUGCUCAUGAUACACCUGGUCUUCUGAUAGUUGAACAUUGUAUCCUUUGGUUCCCGAGAUAAACAGGGAUAAAACUCGCGGUGAAGAUCAGUUAUUUGCAAAUGGAUCCCCUUGCGAUGCCUUCCUAUAUCAAUUGAACUAAUGGAUAAGAUAGCUGAGUACUUUGACAAGAUGUAACUCUUGUUGCACAAAUAUAUCAUAUAUGAAUCAGUUACUUUAGAGUUGACAUGUUGAAUCCUGAUAGCUUCAUCAUAUUAUGGAUUCCUUGAGGUACAGACCCAGAUUUUCUUUUCCAUGAGACAGGAGGCUGCUCUGUGUAUUUCACAUUCUAGGAACACAACCCGAAAAUUGAGAUUAAGUUGAUAUAAAUUUUGCAGGGCCGCGGUAUCCUCAUCGGCCAAUCUUAUUAGGAUAGCUACAGAGAGUUGGACUCUUAUAGAGAUGUAUUUACAUGACUAAUCAUGUUGGAAACAAUUUUAGGCUUUGAACAAACAA
RNA transcript from Carica papaya (papaya), 2027 nucleotides. It is a transcript of the gene named nitrogen fixation S (NIFS)-like 1, with no coding region annotated. NCBI's taxonomy places the organism in Eukaryota, Viridiplantae, Streptophyta, Magnoliopsida, Brassicales, Caricaceae. The record is from RefSeq and is a predicted model, not a curated record.